RNAcentral lists this ribosomal RNA (429 nucleotides) under Bacteroidota bacterium. Its description in RNAcentral is "Bacteroidetes bacterium partial 16S ribosomal RNA". It matches the Rfam family "Bacterial small subunit ribosomal RNA", at positions 355 to 776 of the family's 1533-position model. Lineage: Bacteria; Pseudomonadati; Bacteroidota. The record is from RNAcentral.
UAGGGAAUCUUCGGCAAUGGGGGGAACCCUGACCGAGCAACGCCGCGUGAGUGAAGAAGGUUUUCGGAUCGUAAAGCUCUGUUGUUAAGGAAGAACGAGUGUGAGAAUGGAAAGUUCAUGCUGUGACGGUACUUAACCAGAAAGGGACGGCUAACUACGUGCCAGCAGCCGCGGUAAUACGUAGGUCCCGAGCGUUGUCCGGAUUUAUUGGGCGUAAAGCGAGCGCAGGCGGUUAGAAAAGUCUGAAGUGAAAGGCAGUGGCUCAACCAUUGUAGGCUUUGGAAACUGUUUAACUUGAGUGCAGAAGGGGAGAGUGGAAUUCCAUGUGUAGCGGUGAAAUGCGUAGAUAUAUGGAGGAACACCAGUGGCGAAAGCGGCUCUCUGGUCUGUAACUGACGCUGAGGCUCGAAAGCGUGGGGAGCGAACAGG